UCGAUUUAAUUUGAAUAAAAAAAUUUAUUUUAAUAUUAAUUUUUUUUUUACCUUUUUAUUAAAAAUAUUUUUAUAUUUUUUUAUAGUUAUAGAUAAAAUAUAAUUUAUUAUAGAUUAUUAGUAUAGUGAUAGAAUUAUUAAAAUAUUUGAAAAAAUAAAAUAUUAAAAAGAAAAUUUUAUUUAUUGUACCUUGUGUAUCAGGGUUUAUUAAAUAAUAAUUAUUUUAUUUAAUUUUCUCGAAUUUAAAAGAGCUAAUUAACUAUAAAUUUUAUUGUGAAAUAAAUAUUUAAAAUAGUUAAUUAGAAAUGAAACGUUAGUCGUUUUUAAAUAUAUCUAGUUUUUUAAGAAAUAAAUUUAAUUUAGUUAUUUAUUGGUUAUAAAAAUAAUUAUUUAUUUUUAUUGAAUAAGUAAUUAAUAUUUUAAGGGAUAAGCUUUAAAAUAAAGUAUUAAUAAAUAAAUUUUUGGUUAAUCUAAAAUUUAUAGAAGUGAAAGUAUUUUUUUAUAAUAGUGUUUUAUAACAAAUUUUAGGGUUAUAAUAUAAUUUAUAUAUUAUUUUUAAUAUUUUAUUAAAAUAAUUAAUUUAAUUAUAAAAUUAAUGAAAUAAUGAUAAAAUUAGUAUAAUUUAUUGUAUAAGAUUUUUAUAAAAUUGAGGUUAAAUUAAGGAAUUCGGCAAUUUUUUUUUCCGCCUGUUUAUUAAAAACAUGUCUUUUUGAUUAUAAUUUAAAGUCUGACCUGCCCUAUGAUAUUAUAUAUUAAAUGGCCGCGAUAUUUUGAUCGUGCAAAGGUAGCAUAAUCAUUAGUUUCUUAAUUAGGAACUGGAAUGAAAGGUCGAACGAGAAAAAUACUGUCUCAAUUUAAUUUUAUUAGAAUUUUAUUUUUAAGUCAAAAAGCUUAAAUAAAUUUAAAAGACGAGAAGACCCUAUAGAGUUUUAUAUUUAAAUAUUAUAAGUAAAAAUUUAAGAAUUAUAUAUGUAUUAUAAUAUUAAAGUAUUUAGUUGGGGUGACUAAAAAAUUAAAUAAACUUUUUUUUAAUUUUUAAACAUUGAUAUAUGAAUAAUUGAUCCAUAUUUUAUGAUUAAAAGAUUAAAUUACCUUAGGGAUAACAGCGUAAUUUUCUUUAAGAGUUCUUAUCGAAAAGAAAGUUUGCGACCUCGAUGUUGGAUUAAAAUAAAUUUUUGGUGUAGGUGCUAAAAAAAUUAGGUCUGUUCGACCUUUAAAAUUUUACAUGAUCUGAGUUUAAACCGGUGUAAGCCAGGUUGGUUUCUAUCUUUAAAAAUACAAAAUAUUUUAGUACGAAAGGAUUAAAUAUUUUUAAUAAUUAGUUAUUUUAGAUUAUUACUAAAGUGUAUAUUACUUUGGCAGAAUAGUGCCUU
This 1373-nucleotide ribosomal RNA is filed under the name Scaptodera rhadamistus. RNAcentral describes it as "16S ribosomal RNA". The stretch from base 1099 to 1258 matches the Rfam family "Archaeal large subunit ribosomal RNA", at positions 2544 to 2703 of the family's 2987-position model. The record is from RNAcentral. Lineage: Eukaryota; Metazoa; Arthropoda; Insecta; Coleoptera; Scarabaeidae.